This 497-nucleotide ribosomal RNA is filed under the name uncultured bacterium. RNAcentral describes it as "partial 16S ribosomal RNA". It matches the Rfam family "Bacterial small subunit ribosomal RNA", at positions 28 to 507 of the family's 1533-position model. The record is from RNAcentral.
GAUGAACGCUGGCGGCGUGCCUAAUACAUGCAAGUCGAGCGAACAGACGAGGAGCUUGCUCCUCUGACGUUAGCGGCGGACGGGUGAGUAACACGUGGAUAACCUACCUAUAAUACUGGGAUAACUUCGGGAAACCGGAGCUAAUACCGGAUAAUAUAUUCAACCGCAUGGUUCAAUAGUGAAAGACGGUUUUGCUGUCACUUAUAGAUGGAUCCGCGCCGCAUUAGCUAGUUGGUAAGGUAACGGCUUACCAAGGCGACGAUGCGUAGCCGACCUGCGAGGGUGAUCGGCCACACUGGAACUGAGACACGGUCCAGACUCCUACGGGAGGCAGCAGUAGGGAAUCUUCUGCAAUGGGCGAAAGCCUGACGGAGCAACGCAGCGUGAGUGAUGAAGGUCUUCGGAUCGUAAAACUCUGUUAUUAGGGAAGAACAAAUGUGUAAGUAACUAUGCACGUCUUGACGGUACCUAAUCAGAAAGCCACGGCUAACUACGUG